CUUGGUCAUUUAGAGGAAGUAAAAGUCGUAACAAGGUUUCCGUAGGUGAACCUGCGGAAGGAUCAUUACAGAGUUCAUGCCCUUCGGGGUAGAUCUCCCACCCUUGUGUAUCAUUAUAGAAUGUUGCUUUGGCGGGCCGCGCCUAGUGUGCCUGGAUUCGCGUUCAGCGUGCCCGCCAGAGGACCCCUAAACUCUGAAUGUUAGUGUCGUCUGAGUACUAUUAAAUAGUUAAAACUUUCAACAACGGAUCUCUUGGUUCUGGCAUCGAUGAAGAACGCAGCGAAAUGCGAUAAGUAAUGUGAAUUGCAGAAUUCAGUGAAUCAUCGAAUCUUUGAACGCACAUUGCGCCCCCUGGUAUUCCGGGGGGCAUGCCUGUUCGAGCGUCAUUUAUACCAAUCUAGCCCGGCUAGGUGUUGGGCUUCGCCGUUUGGCGGGCCUUAAAACCAGUGGCGGUGCUCUUAGGCUCUACGCGUAGUAAUUUUCUCGCUAUAGGGUCCUGGGAGAUGCUUGCCAGCAACCCCAAAUUUUUCUUAGGUUGACCUCGGAUCAGGUAGGGAUACCCGCUGAACUUAAGCAUAUCAAUAAGCGGAGGAAAAGAAACCAAAGA
RNAcentral lists this ribosomal RNA (607 nucleotides) under uncultured Lachnum. RNAcentral's name for it is "eukaryotic LSU rRNA". The stretch from base 233 to 386 matches the Rfam family "5.8S ribosomal RNA". The record is from RNAcentral. Lineage: Eukaryota; Fungi; Ascomycota; Leotiomycetes; Helotiales; Hyaloscyphaceae.